UACGGAGGGGGCUAGCGUUGUUCGGAAUUACUGGGCGUAAAGCGCACGUAGGCGGUUUGUUAAGUCUGGGGUGAAAUCCUGGAGCUCAACUCCAGAACUGCCUUCGAUACUGGCGAUCUCGAGUCCGGGAGAGGUGAGUGGAACUGCGAGUGUAGAGGUGAAAUUCGUAGAUAUUCGCAAGAACACCAGUGGCGAAGGCGGCUCACUGGCCCGGUACUGACGCUGAGGUGCGAAAGCGUGGGGAGCAAACAGG
This 253-nucleotide ribosomal RNA is filed under the name uncultured bacterium. RNAcentral describes it as "partial 16S ribosomal RNA". It matches the Rfam family "Bacterial small subunit ribosomal RNA", at positions 524 to 776 of the family's 1533-position model. The record is from RNAcentral.